GGGGACAUGGCACACAAAACUAACUCAACUUAUUGGCACCUUUCAGAGAUAGGUCGAUCAACAAACGGCAGAGGAUGCUGCAAGUGACAACUGGUGCUGCUGCCUUUAAAGGCAAAUUAUUGGCUUUUAAUUAGGAUAUAAGCCACCAAGUUGCUACUUAUAUGAGGGAUCCCAGUAGAAUGAUCAAGCAAAUGAGGCUGAGAACAUCUACUGUUAGUAUAUUUGGAA
This is a long non-coding RNA of Neltuma alba, 228 nucleotides long. RefSeq lists it as uncharacterized. The transcript has 3 exons. The record is from RefSeq and is a predicted model, not a curated record. NCBI's taxonomy places the organism in Eukaryota, Viridiplantae, Streptophyta, Magnoliopsida, Fabales, Fabaceae.